UCAAAUUUGAAAUCUGGCAGUCUUCGAUUGUCCGAGUUGUAAUCUAUAGAGGCGUUUUCCGUGCCGGACCGUGUCCAAGUCUCCUGGAAAGGAGUAUCAAAGAGGGUGAUAAUCCCGUACUUAACACGACCACCGGUGCUCUGUGAUACGUCUUCUACGAGUCGAGUUGUUUGGGAAUGCAGCUCAAAAUGGGUGGUGAAUUCCAUCUAAAGCUAAAUAUUGGCGAGAGACCGAUAGCGAACAAGUACCGUGAGGGAAAGAUGAAAAGCACUUUGGAAAGAGAGUUAAACAGUACGUGAAAUUGUUGAAAGGGAAACGAUUGAAGUCAGUCGUGUUCUUUGGAUUCANCCAGUUCUGCUGGUCUACUUCCUUUGAACGGGUCAACAUCAGUUUUGUCCGGUGGAUAAAGGCAGUAGGAAUGUAGCUUCUCCGGAAGUGUUAUAGCCUAUUGUCACAUACACUGGGUGAGACUGAGGACUGCAGCUCGCCUUUAUGGCCGACCUUCGGGUACGUUCGAGCUUAGGAUGUUGACAUAAUGGCUUUAAACGACCCGUC
RNAcentral lists this ribosomal RNA (555 nucleotides) under Trichosporon coremiiforme. Its description in RNAcentral is "eukaryotic LSU rRNA". It matches the Rfam family "Eukaryotic large subunit ribosomal RNA", at positions 109 to 653 of the family's 3401-position model. Lineage: Eukaryota; Fungi; Basidiomycota; Tremellomycetes; Trichosporonales; Trichosporonaceae. The record is from RNAcentral.